Molecule: ribosomal RNA, 253 nt
Filed under: uncultured bacterium
Lineage: Bacteria
Description: partial 16S ribosomal RNA
Rfam family: Bacterial small subunit ribosomal RNA
Source: RNAcentral
UACAGAGGGGGCAAGCGUUAUUCGGAAUUAUGGGGCGUACAGGGCGCGUAGGCGGUAUGGCAAGUGGAAGGUGAAAUCCCUCGGCUUAACCGAGGAACUGCCCUCCAAACUGCUUUACUUGAGGCCGGGAGAGGUGAGUGGAAUUCCUGGUGUAGCGGUGAAAUGCGCAGAUAUCAGGAGGAACACCGGUGGCGAAGGCGGUUCUCUGGGCAUUACCUGACGCUGAGGAGCGAAAGUGUGGGGAGCGAACAGG